CGGGCUUGGUGAAUGGCUCUGACGCGCGCCAUUUGAUGGUCUGGAGCUCUUGGUCGCUUGGAGCAUUGUUCAGGAGGAGCUGAUCAAGGAGCUCGAUUUGAUUCUCGAGAGCUGCAGUAGGUUCUUAGUGGAUCAUGGGUUAAAAAGGGUCACCAAUUGUUUCUUGCUUCACUUGAUGGAGUUUGGCCCUUUGAAGCUUACUGAUCCUUCGAAGAUUGGUGGGCUGUUGAACGGGUUGAAAACUAUGAGGAUGAAUAACCCCUUUUGGCAGUCUUUAUGGUGAAUCUAUGUUUUUUAACAUUCCUCAGCUUUUGGCUAUGUUUGUGACUGUGAAUGUAUCUGAAAUACGUGUGAGGAUGUUUUGUACCAUAUAUGUGAGGAUGUUUUGUAACAUAUCUCAAUUUGUGUUGCAAGUGUAACAUAUAUGCGAGGAUGUUUUGUAAUAUGCGAGGAUGUUUUGUAACAUAUAGGCGAGGAUGUUAAAAUUGGUCAUUGUUAAAAUUUGUUUGAUCUCUCAACUUGUGACUGAAUUUAGUGGUGAGUUUGUAGCAUAUUUCAGCUUGUGAUGGUGUUUGUGAUUGAAAAUGUACCGUGUUAAGUGUAGAGGAUGUUUUGUAACAU
Long non-coding RNA from Asparagus officinalis (garden asparagus), 621 nucleotides. RefSeq lists it as uncharacterized. Lineage: Eukaryota; Viridiplantae; Streptophyta; Magnoliopsida; Asparagales; Asparagaceae. The transcript is spliced from 3 exons. The record is from RefSeq and is a predicted model, not a curated record.